UGGGGGUUUGAUUCUGGCUCAGAUUGAACGCUGGCGGGAUGCUUUAUGCAAGUCGAACGGCGGCACGGACUUCGGUCUGGUGGCGAGUGAACAGGUGAGUAAUGUAUCGGAACGUGCCUAGUAGCGGGAUGUCGCGAAAGCGUAGCUAAUACCGCAUACGCCCUUCGGGGGAAAGCGGGGGGACCUUCGGGCCUCGCACUAUUAGAGCGGCCGAUAUCGGAUUAGCUAGUUGGUGGGGUAACGGCUCACCAAGGCGACGAUCCGUAGCUGGUUUGAGAGGACGACCAGCCACACUGGGACUGAGACACGGCCCAGACUCCUACGGGAGGCAGCAGUGGGGAAUUUUGGACAAUGGGGAAACCCUGAUCCAGCCAUCCCGCGUGUGCGAUGAAGGCCUUCGGGUUGUAAAGCACUUUUUGGCAGAAAGAAACGGCGCGGGAUAAUACCCCGUGCAACUGACGGUACCUGCAGAAUAAGCACCGGCUAACUACGUGCCAGCAGCCGCGGUGUACGUAGGGUGCAAGCGUUAAUCGGAAUUACUGGGCGUAAAGCGUGCGCAGGCGGUUCGGAAAGAAGAUGUGAAAUCCCAGAGCUUAACUUUGGAACUGCAUUUUUUAACUACCGAGCUAGAGUGUGUCAGAGGGAGGUAGAAUUCGCGUGUAGCAGUGAAAUGCGUAGAUAUGCGGAGGAACACCGAUGGCGAAGGCAGCCUCCUGGGAUAACACUGACGCUCAUGCACGAAAGCGUGGGGAGCAAACAGGAUUAGAUACCCUGGUAGUCCACGCCUAAACGAUGUCAACUAGCUGUUGGGGCCUUCGGGCCUUGGUAGCGCAGCUAACGCGUGAAGUUGACCGCCUGGAAGUACAGUCGCAAGAUUAAAACUCAAAGGAAUUGACGGGGACCCGCACAAGCGGUGGAUGAUGUGGAUUAAUUCGAUGCAACGCGAAAAACCUUACCUACCCUUGACAUGUCUGGAAUCCCGAAGAGAUUUGGGAGUGCUCGCAAGAGAACCGGAACACAGGUGCUGCAUGGCUGUCGUCAGCUCGCGUCGUGAGAUGUUGGGUUAAGUCCCUGUAGGCACAACCCUUGUCAUUAGUUGCUACGAAAGAGGGCACUCUAAUGAGACUGCCGGUGACAAACCGGAGGAAGGUGGGGAUGACGUCAAGUCCUCAUGGCCCUUAUGGGUAGGGCUUCACACGUCAUACAAUGGUCGGGACAGAGGGGUCGCCAACCCGCGAGAGGCCAAUCCCGAAGCCCGAUCGUAGUCCGGAUCGCAGUCUGCAACUCGACUGCGUGAAGUCGGAAUCGCUAGUAAUCGCGGAUCAGCAUGUCGCGGUGAAUACGUUGGGUCUUGUACACACCGCCCGUCACACCAUGAGUGGGUUUUACCAAGUAGUUAGCCUAACCGUAAGGAGGGCGAUUACCACGGUAGGAUUCAUGACUGGGGUGAAGUCGUAACAAGGUAA
Molecule: ribosomal RNA, 1466 nt
Filed under: uncultured Bordetella sp.
Lineage: Bacteria; Pseudomonadati; Pseudomonadota; Betaproteobacteria; Burkholderiales; Alcaligenaceae
Description: partial 16S-23S ribosomal RNA intergenic spacer
Rfam family: Bacterial small subunit ribosomal RNA
Source: RNAcentral